Molecule: long non-coding RNA, 426 nt
Organism: Homo sapiens (human)
Lineage: Eukaryota; Metazoa; Chordata; Mammalia; Primates; Hominidae
Product: long intergenic non-protein coding RNA 1858
Source: Ensembl
GUGACUCUUUAGCACCAGCACAGCCUACAGAUAGGAUUGUGCCACACUGCUGGACCCAGCACCUAGGUGACGUAACUCUAUUCUCCUGCUUUGGUGCUACCCAAAAAGGACAUUGUAACAUAUCUCAGAGCCUUGCUCCCAGGUGAUGCUACUCUCUACUUAUGGCUGGGCCUUGACAAAAAGAGGGAUUGGGACAUAUCCCUGGACGCUGAACCUAAGAGGUGGAGGUUGCCGUGGUGACAGAGUGAGACUUCGCCAAAACAAAACAAAAAAAACAACAACAAAAAGUUGGAUUGUGACAUACACUUUAGCACAGCUCAUGGUUGUGAUGAUGACACUUACGCCACAAAACAGCCAAUAGGAGAGAUACUGCCACUUGUAGCUAGACUUACAGAAAUGAAUAAACUCCUGAGUCUUCUGUAGUAA